Molecule: ribosomal RNA, 253 nt
Filed under: uncultured bacterium
Lineage: Bacteria
Description: partial 16S ribosomal RNA
Rfam family: Bacterial small subunit ribosomal RNA
Source: RNAcentral
UACAGAGGUCUCAAGCGUUGUUCGGAUUCAUUGGGCGUAAAGGGUGCGUAGGCGGCGCGGUAAGUCGGGUGUGAAAUCUUGGAGCUUAACUCCGAAACUGCAUUCGAUACUGCCGUGCUUGAGGACUGGAGAGGAGACUGGAAUUUACGGUGUAGCGGUGAAAUGCGUAGAUAUCGUGAGGAAGACCAGUGGCGAAGGCGGGUCUCUGGACAGUUCCUGACGCUGAGGCACGAAGGUCAGGGGAGCAAACGGG